GGUGGGCGGAUCACGAGGUCAGGAGUUCAAGACCAGCCUGACCAACAUGGUGAAAUCCCAUUUCUACUAAAAAUACAAAAAUUAGCCAGGCGCGUGGUGGUAGGUGCCUGUAGUCCCAGCUACUCGGGAGGCUGAGGCAGGAGAAUGGCAUGAACCCAGGAGGCAGAGCUUGCAGUGAGCCGAGAUCGCACCACUGCACUUCAGCCUGGGCAACAGAGCGAGACUCCAUCUCCAAAAAAAAAAGAAAAAACAAAACAACAUUCUAAAAUGUGUUACCCUUUUUUCCUGAUUUAGAAAUUUCAGAGUGAACCCAAUCAAAUCUUAUCUGUAGAGCAGUAGUUCUCAAACUAUGUGCACUAGAAUCAAUUGGGAAACUGUGAAAUCCUAAUGCCCAAGUUGUACCUCACACCAAUUAAGUCAGAAUAUAGUCUGGGCAAAGCCCAGGCCUAACUACUUUUUAAGGCUCCCAGGUGUUCCAUUAUGAAGCUAUGUUGAGAACACUGCCCUGUAUAUGGCUUCUACCCACUGUUGUAAUUCUAACUUCUGAGACCACCAAUCAAUUCUCUUCCUUCUUCCUGGAGCACUUGGGAACACUGAGGACAGCCAUCAUGUGCCUCUCUUUCCCCUCUAGUCUCUCUUCAGUGUGCAACAUCUCCAAUUCCUUUAGGCGCUCUUCUGGACUCUGAAUUAUGGUAAGGUGCUUGCCAGGACACGUGCACUCCAAAAGGCAUGACUCAUAAUAACCCCAAACUGCAAAUAUCCCAAAGUCCACCAACAGAAAAUGGACAAAUUGUGAUACAUUUGUAUGACUGAAUACUGCACAGCAAUGAAAACUACACCUAUGCCAAAUAUUGACAAAUUUCACAAUAACAUUGUGAAAUAUGAAAAGAAUACAUGAUUCCAUUUAUAUAAAGUUCAAAUGCAGACAAAAUUAAACGACACUGCUAGAAGUCAGAAUGGUGGUUACCUGUGGGAAGAAAGGAAGUAGCAGUGAUCGGGAGGAGUAUAAAGGAGGCUUUGAAGUGUUGACAAUGUUCCAAUUUCUUUACUGAAUGUGGUUAUUCAUGUUUGCUUUGUGUUAAUGAACUGUAUACAUACUUGUUUGGGGUAUUUUCCUAUAUGUAUGAUAUACUUCAUAAUUUAAAAAAAAAUUUAAAAUAUGAGGUCCAAGAUAAAAGAUAUGAAAAUCCAUUUUAAUCAUUCAAAUCUCCAUGUACAGGAUGGUUGUUGCUGUUACCCAACUCUUUCACUCCUCUCUCAGCUCUGGAAUCAAAAUUGUUUGGGUUCAGUCUCAGCUCUACCAUUUAGUAGCUGAGGACCUUGUGCAAAUCUGUCUUAUUUCCUCAAGUAUAAAAUGAGAACACUGUCAUUUUAGAACACUUCCUCCAGUUUUCACUCAGAUAGUUGGUACCUAUCAUAUGUGACAUAUUCAUAUGAUGGAUAUGAUAGUAUAGAUACCUACUGAGUGACUGAAAACUGGAGGAAGUUAAGAAAUAUAAAGUGCUGGCCGGGCGCGGUGGCUCAAGCCUGUAAUCCCAGUACUUUGGGAGGCCGAGGCGGGUGGAUCACGAAGUCAGGAGAUCGAGACCAUCCUGGCUAACAUGGUGAAACCCCGUCUCUACUAAAAAUACAAAAAAAAAACUAGCCGGGCGUGGUGGCGGGCGCCUGUAGUCCCAGCUACUUGGAGGCUGAGGCAGGAGAAUGGCAUAAACCCGGGAGGCGGAGCUUGCAGUGAGCCGAGAUCGCGCCACUGCACUCCAGCCUGGGUGACACAGCGAGACUCCGUCUCAAAAAAAAAAAAAAA
Molecule: long non-coding RNA, 1804 nt
Filed under: Macaca mulatta (Rhesus monkey)
Lineage: Eukaryota; Metazoa; Chordata; Mammalia; Primates; Cercopithecidae
Description: lncRNA (ENSMMUG00000054932.1)
Source: RNAcentral